AUUGAACGCUGGCGGCAUGCCUUACACAUGCAAGUCGAACGGCAGCAUGGAGAGCUUGCUCUCUGAUGGCGAGUGGCGAACGGGUGAGUAAUGCAUCGGAACGUACCGUGUAAUGGGGGAUAACGUAGCGAAAGUUACGCUAAUACCGCAUACGACCUGAGGGUGAAAGCAGGGGAUCGCAAGACCUUGCGUUAUACGAGCGGCCGAUGUCAGAUUAGCUAGUUGGUGAGGUACAGGCUCACCAAGGCGACGAUCUGUAGCGUGUCUGAGAGGAUGAUCCGCCACACUGGGACGGGGACACGGCCCAGACUUCUACGGGAGGCAGCAGUGGGGAAUUUUGGACAAUGGGGGCAACCCUGAUCCAGCCAUGCCGCGUGAGUGAAGAAGGCCUUCGGGUUGUAAAGCUCUUUCGGCCGGGGAGAGAUCGCACAGGCUAAUACUCUGUGUGGAUGACGGUACCGGCAUAAGAAGCACCGGCUAACUACGUGCCAGCCGCCGCGGUAA
This 504-nucleotide ribosomal RNA is filed under the name uncultured bacterium. RNAcentral describes it as "partial 16S ribosomal RNA". It matches the Rfam family "Bacterial small subunit ribosomal RNA", at positions 30 to 523 of the family's 1533-position model. The record is from RNAcentral.